Molecule: ribosomal RNA, 832 nt
Filed under: uncultured archaeon
Lineage: Archaea
Description: bacterial SSU rRNA
Rfam family: Archaeal small subunit ribosomal RNA
Source: RNAcentral
GGUCACUGCUAUUGGGAUUCGACUAAGCCAUGCGAGUCGAGAGGGUUCGGCCCUCGGCUGACGGCUCAGUAACACGUGGAUAAUCUGCCCUUAGGUGGAGGAUAACCUCGGGAAACUGAGAAUAAUACUCCAUAGGUCUAGGAUGCUGGAAUGCAUCUAGACUGAAAACUCCGGUGCCUAAGGAUGAGUCUGCGGACUAUCAGGUUGUAGUCAGGGUAAAGACCUGACUAGCCUACGACGGAUACGGGUUGUGAGAGCAAUAACCCGGAGAUGAUAUCUGAGACACGAUAUCAGGCCCUACGGGGCGCAGCAGGCGCGAAAACUUCACACUGUGCGAAAGCACGAUGAGGGAAUCCCAAGUGCCAGCUCGUAAGAGUUGGCUGUUUUUCUGUUUAAAGUGCAGAGAGAGUAAGAGCUGGGUAAGACGGGUGCCAGCCGCCGCGGUAAUACCUGCAGCUCAAGUGGUGACCGUUAUUAUUGGGCCUAAAACGUUCGUAGCCGGCUUAGUAAAUGCCUGGGUAAAUCGUGUAGCUUAACUAUACGAAUUCCGGGUAGACUGCUAAGCUUGAGACCGGGAGAGGCUAGAGGUACUCCUGGGGUAGAGGUGAAAUUCUGUAAUCCUAGGGGGACCACCAGUGGCGAAGGCGUCUAGCUAGAACGGAUCUGACGGUGAGGGACGAAGCCCUGGGGCGCGAACCGGAUUAGAUACCCGGGUAGUCCAGGGUGUAAACGCUGCUUGCUUGAUGUUAGUCGGGCUCCGAGCCCGAUUAGUGUCGGAGAGAAGUUGUUAAGCAAGCUGCCUGGGAAGUACGGUCGCAAGGCUGAAACUUAA